Ictalurus punctatus (channel catfish) is the source of this 6067-nucleotide long non-coding RNA. The record is from Ensembl. Lineage: Eukaryota; Metazoa; Chordata; Actinopteri; Siluriformes; Ictaluridae.
AAAAAAAAAAAAUAUAGAGGCGAAUCAACAUACAGACAUAGCUUCAACUCUGCAGUUCAAAAAAGUUCCUGACUUCAUUAGAUAUUUGUGGAAAUGUGCAAGAAUCAUGGGAAGCUGAAAAAACUCCUAAGCAAAAUCUAAAUUCAGGCUAAAGAAAAAACAUCUCACAAACUGAAUGAAACAAGUGCUCAGUUUUACAGGCCCUUUCCUGACCGGUCAAAACCAAACCACUGAGGAAGCAUCAACAGCAAAUCCUAAUAAAAUGGAGUGUGCCCACAAACCCUGCCAGUAUGACACAGCAGUCUAUGAACAUGGCAUAUGAACAUUUUUAGAAAUCUUUUUUUUUUUUUUUUUCCUUUGGAAAGUACUAGACAAAAGGCAAAGGAAGUUCCUGGAAAGGAAGGCAGGUUUCAUGUAAGGACCUGGUGACCUCAGAGGGCAGAGAUCGGAGGAAAUUGAUCCAGCACUCUGAUCCCAGCUCAGCUGUCAGCUCCGCAGCUGGCACAAAGGCACCUGAAAUAAUCACACCAUUCCAACCUCUAAUCCAAUCAGUCAGGCUCUGCGCUCCAAAAGUGAGACGCUGAGGAUGAGCCGCAGCUCACGUAUCAGGAUAUCGGACAGAACAGAGAAGCUGGCAAAGAGCGACCAGGGAGAAGGGGGGGGGGGUGCUUUCCUUGGUCCUGAUAAAAAUGAAGCACUGGAAACUGAGUCAUGAGGUCAUUCUUAAGUACAAAAAAAAAAUGCAUUUAAGAGUAGAGAUUAUACAUAUACAUUCACAGGUGUGGGACAAAUUAAAGGAAAACCUGACAGCUUAAAGCAGUCUUUCUCAAAGUGUGCUCAGUGAUUUAUUAUUUUUUUUUUUAACAGUGCUGGAAAUCACAAACCAAACUUGGGAUAUUUGUGAUGUCGUUCUUACAGUUAUUAGCCUUUUGACUGGUCAUUUGAACCGAAUGGAUCUCAACGCCAAUAAAUAAGGACAACUUGGACCUGAGGUGUCGGGUAGAAAGUCGAGGAAAAUAAAUCUCUAUGGCUUGAAUAAACAGACAAAAUAUUGCUGUACAAACUUAAACAAUACCUUUUUGAAAUUAAUCUGCACUGAUGGGCGUCCAUAGAAUUUAUUUUACAGUGAAAAUGCUUCCUGGCUGCAAGACGUUUGAGAACCCUUGUCUUAAAGGCAAGGCUUACUGCAAAUCAAUAAAGUUCUUCUGAAGGUUCACCUUUAUACUAUAAUGAUGGGAGCGGCCUCUUCCAGGAUAACAAUGUUCUCAACCUUAGAACAUGUGCCGGGCUUCAGAGUCGCCAGAUCACAUGACUGAACAUUUAUGGGAGAUUUUAGACUGACAAGAUACUAAUGAUGCUCCACCACCACCACCAUCAUCAAGACUCCAACUGAGGGAAUAUUUGUUGGAAGAACUGUACACCGAGGUGCACAGAAGCCGUCCUGGUGGCUCGAGGAGGCCCAAAGCCUUACAAUGACACAUUCAGCUGUUUUUUUUUUUUUCCUUUAAUUUGUCACCUGUUAGAUGACUUCAAAAUUCCAUGGAUGUAUGAGGACGCAUCUGUCCAAGCCUGAUGAUGUCCAGUGUCUGUCCAAUAUGGCAGACCUGCUCAGUGUAGAUUAGUUCAGUGUAAAAGACACACACACACACCGUAGACAAGAGCUGUACAGUAAUCUCUCCUAAUGCACCAUCACUUACACAGUCAACCUUUAAUUUACCGGCCUGGAUUUCGCCUCCGAUUUCAAUUAUUUGAGUCCUUAACACUGUACUAUUAUACAACGUCAAUAACUACCGCUCGCCGCUUUGAAAUAUUUAACAUCUCGCAAAAAAAAAAAAAAAGUCUGAACUUCAGGACUGGCAACAUCUAUAAGUGAAAACAUUCCGCAGCUAUUUGCAAAGCGAGGGCUGAGAAGCAGGAAAGAAAAAGUUCAGCCCAACACUUCAAACCUGGGUCAGGCAGCGUUUGCCAAGGUCCGUUUCUGCAUAAGUGAGCACACAAACCCCCGGUGCCUGUUCAAAUACUCGUUCUCUCUUUCUCGCUAUCGCUCGCCAUUCUUUCUGUAGAAGCUCAUGACAACGGCCGCAGCAGCAAUGUUUGAUCUUCAGAGUUUUCCUUAAUCUGGGUUGUCAAGGUUCGCCCGCUGAAGCCUGUUUACUUCAGCGAAAAAAAGGGGGGUUUUUCCCUCCUUUCGCCUUCUCUCUUUUUCACUUUUUUUCCCCUUCUUUAAAACAAUGACUAAUCCAAAGCACUAGUCCAAGCUGCUAGAGAGAUCUUGUGUGUGUGCGCGCGUGUGUAUAUUUAUUUUUUUUUACUUUAAUAAAACAGUGGCACUAUAUUUAAGAUUUAAUUUACUGUUUGCUUAAAAAAAAAAAAAAAAAAAGAACAUUUAUUUAUUUACUCAUUUUUAUUCCGGGACUGAAGCAAAGGCCUGUUUACAGACACCUGAGUGGGACCAGGUCUGGUCUUGGAUAUAUUUUGAACGCUGCACUUUUCCACAGUGUACCAGCAAAAAAAAUAAAUAACACCACCACCAGCUGAAAUGAAAUAACUCAUCCCUGAACUGUUAUCAGACAUCCUGUGAAGUAAAGCCCCUUCAACGCUAACAUGUGUAAGAGGAAUAAGCACGGGCUCCGACCGAAACCUCAGCUGCUGUGCUAGUUUGAUUCAGUCCGGUGGAAGCCAGUCAACUUUCUCAGCACAGUCACGUCGAAGAGCAGACGACUGAGAGAGAGAGACUUUCGGGCUGCCAGGAGUAGUUUCGGGACUUGAACAAAUCUGCCGUGUGUGUACGGAGAGACGGCUUGCUGAGCGGUACAAGUACAGAUGAAAUCAAAGCUGAAAGCGGACGAGGAGAGAAGAAGAAGAAGAAGAAGAAAAGUGGUGCGCUUAUUUCUGACUCGUCUGAACACGUGGGGAGUAAAAAAAGCACCGAGUGCUGCUGGAAAUCAUACAGUGGUGCUUAGAGAGAGCGUAUUUUAUUUACAACUCCCCGCGAAGACGCUUUUUUUUAUAUCUAUAUAAACAACAACAACAACAAAAGUGCUGCACGCGCUGUAAACGAUAACGCGUUGCGACCUCGCUAGCUCCUGCGGCUAACUUCUGGGAGAAAAGAAAAAAACAACAAGAGAAAGAGAAAAAAGUCACGCUAGCCGCCUCGUCUCGAAAAAUAACGCGUUUCCAAUUCACAAUAACGCCAUUUUUAAUGUAACACCUGACCGUCAUCCGGCGUCGCUUAGAACGCCGUACAUGUUUGUUUGUUUGUUUGCUUGUUUGUUUGUUCGCCGCAACAGACAACAGCCAAGCACACACACAAAGCCAAACGUAAAAAGUAAAACAUUGCACAGAAAUGAAGUAGACAUUGUGAGGAACUUACCGUGAUUUGGACGGGUUGUUGUUGUUGUUUUUUUAAUGCUGAAAUUUGCUUCUCGGCGGUUUGAACUCUUCGCGUGAGCUUGUGUUUGGGCAGAGCGCGUGCGAUAAAUCGCACUGUAAACACUAACAAUAUUACUCUCGCGUGGGUCUGACCGGAAAGCGGCGUGUUGAAGCAGUACUUUCAGUUAGGAACGCGGGAUCCUUCCGACGGGUUUUUUUUUUUUUUUUUUUACACUUUUAACGUGCCGAGAGAGAGAAAGAGAGAGAGAGAAGGGGGAAACAUCGCGGAUUUAGAUGUUGUUGUUUUUUGAUGUUCCCAGUCCGUGACGUCAUAUCCACCUGCUUGAGUAAACACCGCUCAGCGCGCGACGCACAGCUCACAAUCAAGUCCAUGUCAUUCAGCGAAGCAGAACUUUGCGCGCGACAUUCGUAGGCUGCUUCUUAGUGUUUGUAGUAAAUAAAGAAGUACGACUUCUUCUCCUGUCUUUCUUUAAAGUAAAAUCGUCCAGGUGGAUCACUGUAAGAGGAGCGCGUCUAGCCAUCCUCUCCCGGUUUUCUCGACUUUCUGCAGAGAAACACGACAGGUUCGGAGGGUAAAAAGUUCAGAAGGACUAGCCCAUGUGCUAGAACAAAAAAAAAAAAAGUAUGAAAAUUCAAGCUCUUCCAUCUGCCUAAAUAGCUACCGGUUUUAUUUGUCAUGUUCCUCAAUGGAUAAAUUUGGUGAUUAUUUGGUGUGUUUACUGUUGCAUUAGUGUCUGUGUGUGUUUUCUGUUCAUUACAUUCAUGCACGGUCCAUUAUAUUAGUUUCAUUCUUACUCGAUGAACAAAGUGCUCAAACGUGCAGGAAAAAGAAAGAAAACCACCACAGAAAAGGAAUCCGUGCAUUUCUCUGAUUCCCUGGCUGGAAUGGAUGUCAGCUGAGCCUACACCUAGGAUAAAUCUAAUAAAUCAGUCAUUACAACAAUUGAAUAAAACAGUGAGGUAUGGUCGUAUGGGGGUUCUGUAAUUCACAAGUCGGUAGUUAGUGAUAGUCAGAUCAAUAUUUAAUCCCGAGUACACAGGAAAAGAUUUAGAAAAGGAGGCACACGCAUGUGGAUGAAUGUAUUUAGCACGGUGGUGAGCUACUAUACUACUGAGACAUGACUGAGUUUUAUGAGUACAGAGCGCCACCGUGUGGCUGAAUAGAACUAGUUCUGAUGUUAGGCGAUAGAUUAUGAUGUCCAUUCAUUCAUCCAUCCAGGAUUGGCACCCUGACCAGGGUGUAACCCCCGCCUUGUGCCCGAUGCUCCCUGGGAUAGGUUCCAGGUUCCCCGUGAGCCUGAAGCAUAAGCGGUAUAGAAGACAGGUGGAUCGAUCCAUCCGUUCAUUUUCUAUAUCGUUUAUCCUAAACGGGGAGACUGGAGCCUAUCCCGGGAGACUCGGGGGCACAAGGCGGGAACAUCCCGGACAGGGUGCCAACACAUCACAGGGCACAAUCGCGCACACCCAUUCACAUGCUACGGACAACUUAGAGAUGCCAAUCAGCCUGUCUUUGGUCUGGGGAGGAAACCAGAGUACCCGGAGGACACUCCUGAUUAUGAUGUCAUUGUGUAUAAUACAUACACAUAUAGAGAGUGAAUUCAAAUACAUAGGGGCAGAAUAUCCGUCUUGUGGAAAAUCCCACAACUGAAAUCCUGACCUGUCUACAUGGUGAAGGGAAAAUGCUUAUACCGCAUUCGAAAGAAGCAUGGCUUACCCUUUUGUCAAAAUGACCCAAGACAAUUGUUAAUGACAUGUUUUGAAAAUUAAGGACAGAUUUGGACACUUCCUUUCAUUGGUUCAGGCUCUAAAUUUAAUUUAAUGGUGUUUAAAGCAAUACUUACUAGUAGCUUACAUAUUCAUGGCACCAGUAGGCCUAAAUCAAAUUUCAAUAACAGACUGAAACAAUUCUUCUCGAAAUUCAUCAACAGAUUCUAAUACUGUAUGAACACAGUAACUGACUCGCAGAGCACAAUCUCACACACACUCACACACCCAUUCACACACUACAGACGAUUUAGAGUUGCCAGUCUGCUGACUGGCACGUCUUUGGACUGGGGGAGGAAACCCCUGAAGCACAGGGAGAACAUACAAACUAUACACGCACAAGAAAUUGAACCCCCAACCCUGGAGGUGAGACGCAAACAUGCUAACCUCUAAGCCACUGAAUAGCAGCAUAACACAGGAUGUAAAAAAAUAUAAUAAUAAUUAGACAAAGUAAAAAUCUCUGUAUACUCACUAGCAGGCCUAUGCAACUUUCUAUAUUUCCAAAUCUACUUUCAUUUCCUCCUUAUUGAGGCCUUUUAUAAAAAAAAAUAAUAAUAAUAAUAAUAAUAAAAACACCAUGUAAGGCACCUAAGAUCCAUCAACGCAUCAUUUAAUCAUAGUUGUGGGGUGUUUCAUGAAUACAUCCAAUAUAUCCUUACACUUCUCCUUUAUAUGCUUAUCGCAUUUUAAGAAUGUCCCAAUUAAUCUGAAGCAUAAAAAUCAAGAUAAAUCAUGUCAGAAUCUUUUCUACCUUUAUUGUGAAAUUGAACCUAUUAAUUAAAGUGAAAAACAACAAGAAUCAUUUUAGGCAGAAAAAAAAACGUUCAGAAUAAAAAAUGUACGGUAACCUGGUUGCAUAAGUGUACACGCCCCUAAACUAAUACUUAGUUGAAGCAGGUUUAGAUUUUAU